UACGGGGGGGGCAAGCGUUGUUCGGAAUUACUGGGCGUAAAGGGCUCGUAGGCGGCCAACUAAGUCAGACGUGAAAUCCCUCGGCUUAACCGGGGAACUGCAUCUGAUACUGGAUGGCUUGAGUUCGGGAGAGGGAUGCGGAAUUCCAGGUGUAGCGGUGAAAUGCGUAGAUAUCUGGAGGAACACCAAUUGCGAAGGCAGCUCGCUGGGACGUUACUGACGCUGAGACGCGAAAGCGUGGGGAGCAAACAGG
RNAcentral lists this ribosomal RNA (253 nucleotides) under uncultured bacterium. Its description in RNAcentral is "partial 16S ribosomal RNA". It matches the Rfam family "Bacterial small subunit ribosomal RNA", at positions 524 to 776 of the family's 1533-position model. The record is from RNAcentral.